Molecule: long non-coding RNA, 353 nt
Filed under: Trifolium pratense (red clover)
Lineage: Eukaryota; Viridiplantae; Streptophyta; Magnoliopsida; Fabales; Fabaceae
Description: long non-coding RNA (TPRA_LNC002783)
Source: RNAcentral
GUUGAGAAAUUUAAAUAUUUAAUUAUUUAUUAGGUACUAAUAGGAUGAUAAAAUUACUAAUCUAGUUAUAAGCUGCAAAUAUUAAAUUAAAACUUAAGAAAAUUAUGAGAGUAGAAGGGUUAGAUGUAUUCAUAUCAUUCAUGAAAGGUGUAUUUUACAUUGAACACAAAGUGGCUUUUUAUACUAGUAAAGCCAUGAAUAAAAACAAAUUAAAUUUACUAUUCUAAGUUGACAAAGAUAGAUAAUAAUCUAUAUUACUAUUUUAAGUUGACAUUAUCCAUGAAUAUUUCAACAUUAAUAGUGAAACAUCUCUUUCACCUUAAUUUGAUGAUUUAUUUAAUUACUUAUAACAC